RNAcentral lists this ribosomal RNA (677 nucleotides) under uncultured archaeon. RNAcentral describes it as "bacterial SSU rRNA". It matches the Rfam family "Archaeal small subunit ribosomal RNA", at positions 321 to 999 of the family's 1478-position model. The record is from RNAcentral.
CCCUAUGGGGUGCAGCAGGCGCGAAACCUCCACACUGUACGAAAGUGCGAUGGGGGAAUCCUACGUGCUCAUGUUCUGCAUGGGCUUUUGCCAAGAUUAGACACCUUGGCGAAUAAGGGGUGGGCAAGACUGGUGCCAGCCGCCGCGGUAACACCAGCGCCCCAAGUGGUGAUCACGUUUAUUGGGCCUAAAGCGUCCGUAGCCGGAUAAGUAAAUCCGCUGUGAAAUCGUCUCGCUUAACGUGACGGCGUGCAGUGGACACUGCUCAUCUUGAGACCGGGAGGAGUCAGAGGUAUGCCAUGGGGACCGGUAAAAUGGGAUAAUCCAUGGUAGACCACCAAUGGCGAAGGCAUCUGACCAGAACGGAUCUGACGGUGAGGGACGAAAGCCAGGGGAGCGAACCGGAUUAGAUACCCGAGUAGUCCUGGCCGUAAACGCUGUGAGCUAGGUGUUGCCCAUCCCACGUGGAUCGGCAGUGUCGAAACGAAUGUGCUAAGCUCACCGCCUGGGAAGUACGGUCGCAAGACUGAAACUUUAAGGAAUUGGCGGGGGAGCACUACAAGGGGUGCGGCGUGCGGUUUAAUCUAACUCAACGCAGAAAAUCUCACUAGGAGCGACGGCAGGAUGAAGGACAAGCUGAAGACUUUUCCCGACGAGCCGAGAGGUAGUGCAUGGCC